Molecule: ribosomal RNA, 679 nt
Filed under: uncultured organism
Description: SSU rRNA
Rfam family: Bacterial small subunit ribosomal RNA
Source: RNAcentral
UGGCGGCGUGCCUAAUACAUGCAAGUCCAUUGGACGAUUCAAAAGCUUGCUUUUGAAUCGUUAGCGGCGGACGGGUGAGUAACACGUGGGCAACCUGCCCUGUAGACGGGGAUAACACCGAGAAAUCGGUGCUAAUACCGGAUAACACGAAGAACCGCAUGGUUUUUCGUUGAAAGGCGGCGCAAGCUGUCGCUACAGGAUGGGCCCGCGGCGCAUUAGCUAGUUGGUGAGGUAACGGCUCACCAAGGCGACGAUGCGUAGCCGACCUGAGAGGGUGAUCGGCCACACUGGGACUGAGACACGGCCCAGACUCCUACGGGAGGCAGCAGUAGGGAAUCUUCCGCAAUGGACGAAAGUCUGACGGAGCAACGCCGCGUGAGCGAAGAAGGCCUUCGGGUCGUAAAGCUCUGUUGUUAGGGAAGAACAAGUACCGCAGUCACUGGCGGUACCUUGACGGUACCUAACGAGAAAGCCACGGCUAACUACGUGCCAGCAGCCGCGGUAAUACGUAGGUGGCAAGCGUUGUCCGGAAUUAUUGGGCGUAAAGCGCGCGCAGGCGGUUCCUUAAGUCUGAUGUGAAAGCCCACGGCUCAACCGUGGAGGGUCAUUGGAAACUGGGGGACUUGAGUGCAGAAGAGGACAGCGGAAUUCCACGUGUAGCGGUGAAAUGCGUAGAGAU